AACGAACGCUGGCGGCAGGCCUAACACAUGCAAGUCGAGCGGACCUUUCGGGGUCAGCGGCGGACGGGUGAGUAACGCGUGGGAAUAUGCCCUUCUCUACGGAAUAGUCCUGGGAAACUGGGGGUAAUACCGUAUACGCCCUCUGGGGGAAAGAUUUAUCGGGGAAGGAUUAGCCCGCGUUGGAUUAGGUAGUUGGUGGGGUAAUGGCCUACCAAGCCGACGAUCCAUAGCUGGUUUGAGAGGAUGAUCAGCCACACUGGGACUGAGACACGGCCCAGACUCCUACGGGAGGCAGCAGUGGGGAAUCUUAGACAAUGGGGGCAACCCUGAUCUAGCCAUGCCGCGUGAGUGAUGAAGGCCUUAGGGUUGUAAAGCUCUUUCAGCUGGGAAGAUAAUGACGGUACCAGCAGAAGAAGCCCCGGCUAACUCCGUG
Molecule: ribosomal RNA, 433 nt
Filed under: uncultured bacterium
Lineage: Bacteria
Description: partial 16S ribosomal RNA
Rfam family: Bacterial small subunit ribosomal RNA
Source: RNAcentral